RNAcentral lists this ribosomal RNA (274 nucleotides) under uncultured bacterium. Its description in RNAcentral is "partial 16S ribosomal RNA". It matches the Rfam family "Bacterial small subunit ribosomal RNA", at positions 523 to 796 of the family's 1533-position model. The record is from RNAcentral.
AUACGGAGGGGGUUAGCGUUGUUCGGAAUUACGGGGCGUAAAGCGCACGUAGGCGGACUGGAAAGUUGGGGGUGAAAUCCCGGGGCUCAACCCCGGAACUGCCUCCAAAACUUCCAAUCUAGAGAUCGAGAGAGGUGAGUGGAAUUCCAAGUGUAGAGGUGAAAUUCGUAGAUAUUUGGAGGAACACCAGUGGCGAAGGCGGCUCACUGGCUCGAUACUGACGCUGAGGUGCGAAAGCGUGGGGAGCAAACAGGAUUAGAAACCCUAGUAGUCC